CAUUGGUUUGCAUCUAAAAUUUAUACUGUGACAUCGGUCUUCUCUUACUUCAGUGGAUAUCAGAUAAAGCUGAUGCUACAAGCAUAAAGUUCAAAUUUCACUUGAAAUGAACUUAAUGAUGGUGAUAAAAAAGCCCGAACUAUUUGUGUUCCUGCGCAAGAAAAUCACCUAGACCAAUUUUUUUUUGGGGGGAUGAUGAAAAUCACCUAGACCGAACUAUAUGCUUAUGUUGUUUCCUUUAGUUGCACCUUCAAAAAAGUCAGGUGAUGAAUUAGUAUGCUAUGUUUAAACCCGCUGCUAAAACCCUGAACAAGCUAUAAUUACUCUAUAUAUGGCACUUUGUCCACAUUGGAUGCCCUGAGCAUGUCUUCAUCUGGUUAGGAUUUGAUGGUGUAUUAGUUAGUUUGAUUGGCUGUUGCCACAUUUUAACUGUAAACCAAUCUAACUUGAUGAGAGUUGCUGAUUCUGCAGAUUGUAUAUUCAGUUUACUGGUCUCGCUUGUGUGAUGGGUUUUACAGUGUAAAAAUGUGGGAACUCCUUUUGAACAGCAAUGCGAUCUUGUGCUUCAGAACCACAGACAGCAAAAAACAUAGUCCUCCUUUUGUUUUCCUGGAUAAUAAUCAUUGGCUGUGGUCAACCUGGUAGUAGUGUUGUCUCCUAGGUGAUCAUGCAAUUUUAGUCUCUGGAUUUUAUUUUUUGCAAUUGCUUUUGCGAACUGGAGUUCUGGUCGCUCUCACUGCUGCAAGUGAAGUCUAUGUCCAAUGUACUUCCUGAAUGAGAUAUUCCAGAAUGAAAAAGGCAAUCAAUAUUUUCGGAAAAAUGGUUCUUCAGAGUUCUUUGUCUUAUAACUAAAAAAUGUCCUUGUAAUACCAUUUGAUCUUUCCAUAGGUUCCAAUAUUUGUUAUCUUGUCGGUAGCGGAAGAGUAAUUGGCAUAUGACAACAUAAUACCUGAGUGGGUGUGCAAACAAAGGCAAGGAAAGUUGUUCUCUGGUGAGCCAUUAUUUGCACAUGUCGAGCUUUUGAAUGGAGAAAGGCUGCACGUGUAUCCUGCAAUUUACUCACCUAAGCUAUUACUUCAUUGGCAGGAGCCGUGCAUUGUAUUUUGUCCUCACUGGAGUUUGCGACUUGGCCUAGCUGUUCAUUUGCUCAGACGCUGGCAUGGGGAUGAAAGAUCAUUACUCAUCUGGGAGGAUGGCAAGGAUAGCGACAUAGCUCUCUUGCCUUUUGAUCCGAAGGAGAUGAAGAUGAAGGUCCUUCGAUGUUCGUUUCUUUCGGGAGUAGUGUAGGGACCUCGCAUUAGCUCUGUCGCCUUUUCUUCACGAGAGUGGAGCGAUGUCUCACUUAUUGGGACUUGCGCUGUUUACACGAACAGUGUAAUGGUCAAUUACCAAUAAAAAAAGAGUUCAUUAGAAAGUUCUCAAGAUUUAAUAUUAGACAAGUGCUAGUGCAUGCAAAGUCAAACCUAGAGAAACCAAAAACAAUGUUUGAUUCACUCAAUUAUCCGUCACAUGGUUUUUAUAGUUGCAUGCAUUUAAAAAAUACUUAGUAGACUAGUCGUUGAUUGUUCUGUCUAGCGGUUUCUCUGUCGGAAGGACGCAAUUUUUUUGUUGGAAUACUUUAGGCAAUUUUUGUUGGACUUUUAUUAAUUCUACCGUCACAAGGCAUUUUUCAAUUCCACGUAUGGAAUUUCUUUUGGCCGCUCAAAUGGAUGGAACUCGUAGCGCAUGCGGGUGAUGAAAUUGAAAAUUGUCUUUGGAAAGUGAUGACAAGAUAAAAAAUUCGUUUGUCUCUCCCUUCCUCCUCUCUCCCUUUGCCUCCCUUUGCCUUCAAUUCCACAGAUAUCCGGCCAUUCGAUAAUCAAGCUCGGCCGUCUCCAUCGCCCGAGCUGCCAUAAUUUCCAUCCUC
Syzygium oleosum is the source of this 1906-nucleotide RNA transcript. RefSeq lists it as uncharacterized. The record is from RefSeq and is a predicted model, not a curated record. The transcript has 4 exons. Lineage: Eukaryota; Viridiplantae; Streptophyta; Magnoliopsida; Myrtales; Myrtaceae.